RNAcentral lists this ribosomal RNA (1306 nucleotides) under uncultured bacterium. RNAcentral's name for it is "bacterial SSU rRNA". It matches the Rfam family "Bacterial small subunit ribosomal RNA", at positions 28 to 1381 of the family's 1533-position model. The record is from RNAcentral.
AACGUACGCUGGCGGCACGCUUAACACAUGCAAGUCGAACGAAGUAGCAAUACUUAGUGGCAGGCGGGUGAGUAACAUGUGGGUAUCUGCCCUUUGGCCUGGAAUAACACGAGGAAACUUGUGCUAAUACCGGAUAAGUCUUUACGGAGAAAGCUUUAUGCACCAUUGGAUGAGCCCGCACUUGAUUAGUUUGUUGGUGGGGUAAUGGCCUACCAAGACUGUGAUCAAUAGCUGAUUUGAGAGGAUGAUCAGCCACAUUGGGACUGAGACACGGCCCAAACUCCUACGGGAGGCAGCAGUGGGGAAUCUUGCACAAUGGAGGAAACUCUGAUGCAGCGAUGCCGCGUGAGUGAAGAAGGCCCUUGGGUUGUAAAGCUCUUUCGUCGGGGAAGAAAAUGACUGUACCCGAAUAAGAAGGUCCGGCUAACUUCGUGCCAGCAGCCGCGGUAAUACGAAGGGACCUAGCGUAGUUCGGAAUUACUGGGCUUAAAGAGUUCGUAGGUGGUUGAAAAAGUUAGUGGUGAAAUCCCAGAGCUUAACUCUGGAGCUGCCAUUAAAACUUUUCAGCUAGAGUAUGAUAGAGGAAAGCAGAAUUUCUAGUGUAGAGGUGAAAUUCGUAGAUAUUAGAAAGAAUACCAAUUGCGAAGGCAGCUUUCUGGAUCAUUACUGACACUGAGGAACGAAAGCAUGGGUAGCGAAGAGGAUUAGAUACCCUCGUAGUCCAUGCCGUAAACGAUGUGUGUUAGACGUUGGAAAUUUAUUUUCAGUGUCGCAGCGAAAGCGAUAAACACACCGCCUGGGGAGUACGACCGCAAGGUUAAAACUCAAAUGAAUUGACGGGGACCCGCACAAGUAGUGGAGCAUGUGGUUUAAUUCGAAGAUACGCGCAGAACCUUACCAACACUUGACAUGUUCGUCGCGACUCUAAGAGAUUAGAGUUUUCGGUUCGGCCGGACGAAACACAGGUGCUGCAUGGCUGUCGUCAGCUCGUGUCGUGAGAUGUUGGGUUAAGUCCCGCAACGAGCGCAACCCUCACUUUUAGUUGCCAUCAUUAAGUUGGGCACUCUGAAAGAACUGCCAGUGAUAAGCUGGAGGAAGGUGGGGAUGACGUCAAGUCCUCAUGGCCCUUACGUGUUGGGCUACACACGUGCUACAAUGGUAUCUACAACAGGAAGCAAGACUGCGAAGUCAAGCAAAUCCUUAAAAGAUACCUCAGUUCGGAUUGCACUCUGCAACUCGAGUGCAUGAAGCUGGAAUUACUAGUAAUCGUGGAUCAGCGUGCCACGGUGAAUGCGUUCCCGGGUCU